UUCUUCGGGGCAGGGUGAUAUGCAGAUGCAUAAAUUCCCUACCGACGGUGAUUCUGAGCGAUCAGAAAGUCCGUGAACUGCAUAUGCAGCUGAUCCGGUGAGAUUCCGGAACCGACAGUAAAGUCUGGAUGGGAGAAGAA
RNAcentral lists this non-coding RNA (140 nucleotides) under uncultured Eubacterium sp. Its description in RNAcentral is "FMN riboswitch (RFN element)". It matches the Rfam family "FMN riboswitch aptamer (RFN element)". Rfam says of the family: The RFN element is a highly conserved domain that is found frequently in the 5'-untranslated regions of prokaryotic mRNAs that encode for flavin mononucleotide (FMN) biosynthesis and transport proteins. This element is a metabolite-dependent riboswitch that directly binds FMN in the absence of proteins. The record is from RNAcentral. Lineage: Bacteria; Bacillati; Bacillota; Clostridia; Eubacteriales; Eubacteriaceae.